CCUACGGGUGGCAGCAGUGAGGAAUAUUGGUCAAUGGACGAGAGUCUGAACCAGCCAAGUAGCGUGAAGGAUGACGGCCCGAUGGGUUGUAAACUUCUUUUAUAGGGGAAUAAAAUGUUCCACGUGUGGGAUUUUGUAUGUACCAUAUGAAUAAGGAUCGGCUAACUCCGUGCCAGCAGCCGCGGUAAUACGGAGGAUCCGAGCGUUAUCCGGAGUGAGUGGGUUUAAAGGGAGCGUAGGUGGAUUGUUAAGUCAGUUGUGAAAGUUUGCGGCUCCACCGUAAAAUUGCAGUUGAAACUGGCAGUCUUGAUUACAGUAGCGGUGGGCGGACUUCGUGUUGUAGCGG
RNAcentral lists this ribosomal RNA (346 nucleotides) under uncultured bacterium. RNAcentral describes it as "partial 16S ribosomal RNA". It matches the Rfam family "Bacterial small subunit ribosomal RNA", at positions 338 to 681 of the family's 1533-position model. The record is from RNAcentral.